CAGGUGUCUGGGCCAAGGGCCUGCCGGCUGUCCCUCCCCAGCCAAGAGCAAUAGCAGGGAAGGCCAGCAAGGAGCAGCAGAUGCUGCAAGGAGUGCAAAGUUCUGGAGUGUGACAGAGCCUUGGCAGCAGUGGCUGGCGCUUGUUUUCCCUCACUUUUGGUGGAAAAGUGUGUCAAUGGAUGUCAAGGUAAAUUCUUCUCUUUCUCCCUUUCUUCCCUUCCCCCUCACCUCCCUCUCUCAAGGCUGUCUUUGUGUCAUCUCUUCAAAGUACACUACCUGUAAAAUAUUGAUUCACAGCAGGCUGAGCUGGCAGGUUUAGAUUUCUUUUUCACUGGCAGCAAUAAUAAACUACUACAGACAGUGCA
This 365-nucleotide long non-coding RNA is filed under the name Phasianus colchicus (ring-necked pheasant). RNAcentral's name for it is "lncRNA (ENSPCLG00000015546.1)". The record is from RNAcentral. Lineage: Eukaryota; Metazoa; Chordata; Aves; Galliformes; Phasianidae.